UAGGAAGACAGGAAGCAGUCAGACCCACU
Molecule: non-coding RNA, 29 nt
Filed under: Rattus norvegicus (Norway rat)
Lineage: Eukaryota; Metazoa; Chordata; Mammalia; Rodentia; Muridae
Source: RNAcentral